GCGCCCGUGGAGCACGCAAUGGACACGCGCGGCCGUCGACCACGCGCGGCGAGAGCACGACUCGUGCUUCGCGGUACAACCCGAGCGGUCGCC
RNAcentral lists this transfer RNA (93 nucleotides) under Sinosporangium siamense. RNAcentral's name for it is "tRNA-Asp". Lineage: Bacteria; Bacillati; Actinomycetota; Actinomycetes; Streptosporangiales; Streptosporangiaceae. The record is from RNAcentral.